This 254-nucleotide ribosomal RNA is filed under the name uncultured bacterium. RNAcentral describes it as "partial 16S ribosomal RNA". It matches the Rfam family "Bacterial small subunit ribosomal RNA", at positions 524 to 776 of the family's 1533-position model. The record is from RNAcentral.
UACGUAGGGGGCAAGCGUUGUCCGGAGUUACUGGGCGUAAAGCGCACGCAGGCGGUCUCUUAAGUUUUGGAGUGACAGUUGGUGGCUUAACUGCCAAAGUGCUUCGAAAACUGAGAGACUUGAGGGCUUCAGAGGGACACGGAAUUCCGGGUGGAGUGGUGAAAUGCGUAGAGAUCCGGAGGAGCACCAAAGGCGAAGGCAGUGUCCUGGGGAGUACCUGACGCUCAGGUGCGAAAGCCAGGGGAGCGAACGGG